RNAcentral lists this ribosomal RNA (253 nucleotides) under uncultured bacterium. Its description in RNAcentral is "partial 16S ribosomal RNA". It matches the Rfam family "Bacterial small subunit ribosomal RNA", at positions 524 to 776 of the family's 1533-position model. The record is from RNAcentral.
UACAGAGGGUGCGAGCGUUAAUCGGAAUUACUGGGCGUAAAGCGUGCGUAGACGGUUAUUUAAGUCGGGUGUGAAAGCCCCGGGCUCAACCUGGGAAUUGCAUUCGAGACUGAAUAGCUAGGGUACGGUAGAGGGAAGCGGAAUUUCCGGUGUAGCGGUGAAAUGCGUAGAUAUUCGGAAGAACACCAGUGGCGAAGGCGGCUCACUGGUCCGGUACUGACGCUGAGGUGCGAAAGCGUGGGGAGCAAACAGG